AACGAACGCUGGCGGCAUGCCUAACACAUGCAAGUCGAACGAACUCUUCGGAGUUAGUGGCGCACGGGUGCGUAACGCGUGGGAAUCUGCCCUUGGGUACGGAAUAACUCAGAGAAAUUUGUGCUAAUACCGUAUAAUGUCUUCGGACCAAAGAUUUAUCGCCUAAGGAUGAGCCCGCGUAAGAUUAGCUUGUUGGUGAG
Molecule: ribosomal RNA, 200 nt
Filed under: uncultured bacterium
Lineage: Bacteria
Description: partial 16S ribosomal RNA
Rfam family: Bacterial small subunit ribosomal RNA
Source: RNAcentral